AGUGGGGAAUAUUGGACAAUGGGGGCAACCCUGAUCCAGCAAUGCCGCGUGUGUGAAGAAGGCCUUCGGGUUGUAAAGCACUUUCAGUAGGGAGGAAAAGCUUGAUGCUAAUACCAUUGAGUCUUGACGUUACUUACAGAAGAAGCACCGGCUAACUCUGUGCCAGCAGCCGCGGUAAUACAGAGGGUGCAAGCGUUAAUCGGAAUUACUGGGCGUAAAGGGCGCGUAGGUGGUUUGGUAAGUUGGAUGUGAAAUCCCCGGGCUCAACCUGGGAAUGGCAUUCAAUACUGCCUCACUAGAGUAUGGUAGAGGGAAGCGGAAUUCCACAUGUAGCGGUGAAAUGCGUAGAUAUGUGGAGGAACAUCAAUGGCGAAGGCAGCUUCCUGGACCAAUACUGACACUGAGGCGCGAAAGCGUGGGUAGCAAACAGGAUUAGAUACCCUGGUAGUCCACGCCCUAAACGAUGAGAACUAGAUGUUGGGAAGUAUAUCUUCUUAGUGUCGCAGCUAACGCG
Molecule: ribosomal RNA, 514 nt
Filed under: uncultured bacterium
Lineage: Bacteria
Description: bacterial SSU rRNA
Rfam family: Bacterial small subunit ribosomal RNA
Source: RNAcentral